Molecule: ribosomal RNA, 440 nt
Filed under: uncultured bacterium
Lineage: Bacteria
Description: partial 16S ribosomal RNA
Rfam family: Bacterial small subunit ribosomal RNA
Source: RNAcentral
CCUACGGGGGGCAGCAGUGGGGAAUAUUGCACAAUGGGGGAAACCCUGAUGCAGCGACGCCGCGUGAGUGAAGAAGUAUUUCGGUAUGUAAAGCUCUGUCAGCAGGGAAGAAAAUGACGGUACGUGACCAAGAAGCCCCGGCUAACGACAGGCAAGCAGCGGCGGAAAAACGUAGGGGGCAAGCGUUAUCCGGAUUUACUGGGGGUAAAGGGAGCGUAGACGGAAGGGCAAGUCUGGAGGGAAAGGCGGGGGCUCAACCCCCGGACUGCUCUGGAAACUGCCAGGCGGGAGUGCAGGAGAGGUCAGUGGAAUUCCUAGUGUAGCGGUGAACUGCGUCGAUAUUAGGAGGAACCCCAGUGGCGAAGGCGGCUUACUGGACUGUACCUGCCGUUGAGGCUCGCAAGCGUGGGGAGCAAACAGGAUUAGAUACCCUUGUAGUC